GAAACGAAACAAGAAAGGUCGAUUUAAAGAAACGGUACGGUACGGUCAGUAAAUGUUAAUGAACUUACUCUGGAUCAUAAUUAUGUGUCAGGACAUUAUUGUGAAGGGGAAUGUUGUGAGGUGUGUUUUCCCGGAAUGAAAACGUUGAUAAACAGUAGAAAAUUCAGUUCUACGGGGUGGAACAACGGUCGACGAAUCGUUGAGUGGUCGUCAAUUAUAGACGCACUUUCAAGUUGUCAACAAUGUAAAUGCGGGCCUCUUUAUUUAACUAAAUAGACAGUUAAGGGUGAGAUGAAACUGGGACUAGGUGGAUAUCUCUAUAUCCAGUGUACACUCUGUCUCCGGCUGAAAAGGAUACCGUAUGGAAAGACCCACAGAAGUAAGAAACAAAACGACAAGGGGAUGCCAAGUUUUUGCAUAAAUACUAAAGUCGGCGCAGCAAUGAUAGACAGUGUUGGUGGACCCCAGCGGAUGAACAACCUGCUUACCACCCUUGACCUUCCCUUCAUAAACAACAGAAGUUUGAAAACAAUGGAGAGAAGAACGGGCCAGUUCAUCGAGAAAUAUGCAGAAGAAAACAUGAAGAAAGAAAGUGCCAUGGCCUAUGAGAAAGAAAUGAUAUAAUAAAAAUUUCAUUGCUAUUUUUUCUUUAAAAAAAAUUAUGUUCAUUCAAUUUGAUAUCAAAAUGUUUAUAAAUAUUGAUCAUGUAAAUCUUUAAACUUGGUUGUUUUAGAGCUAUUUCACAGAAAGAAGAGAAUGUCAAGGAGGAGUUUAGCGACUUAGGGGUUGCUGUUAUUUCAGAUGAAUUUCAUGGAGAUGUGUCUAGACUGGCAGAGUACAUGCACCUCUUUUGAUUCUCCAGGUGAUGGAAACAGCUCUAAAGGAUCCACACUUGAGCAGGCUACUUAUGAAGUGAUUCUGGAUCCCAAUAAAGAUGUCGCUUAUGAUGCCCACAUAUCAAAGAAAAUGCAUCCAGCAGUCAAGAAACUCUCUUUCCCUCCUAAGUCCCGUAAAGGCAUACCAGUUUGCAUCGACCAUGGAUGGCAAAAACGGGGGUUUGACAGUUU
Molecule: long non-coding RNA, 1067 nt
Organism: Ostrea edulis (European flat oyster)
Lineage: Eukaryota; Metazoa; Mollusca; Bivalvia; Ostreida; Ostreidae
Exons: 4
Source: RefSeq, a predicted model, not a curated record